CGGUCCAGACUCCUACGGGAGGCAGCUGUAGGGAAUCUUCCGCAAUGGGCGAAAGUCUGACGGAGCACGCCGCGUGAGUUGAUGAAGGUUUCGGAUCGUAAAGCUCUGUUGUUAGGGAGAACAAAUGUGAAAGUAACUCGCACAUCUUGACGGUACCUAACCAGAAAGCCACGGCUAACUACGUGCCAGCAGCCGCGGUAA
This 201-nucleotide ribosomal RNA is filed under the name Staphylococcus intermedius. Its description in RNAcentral is "partial 16S ribosomal RNA". It matches the Rfam family "Bacterial small subunit ribosomal RNA", at positions 327 to 523 of the family's 1533-position model. Lineage: Bacteria; Bacillati; Bacillota; Bacilli; Caryophanales; Staphylococcaceae. The record is from RNAcentral.